Molecule: long non-coding RNA, 549 nt
Organism: Silurus meridionalis
Lineage: Eukaryota; Metazoa; Chordata; Actinopteri; Siluriformes; Siluridae
Exons: 3
Source: RefSeq, a predicted model, not a curated record
CAAAACAAUCCCUCAUCACUAGUGCAUUAAAAACACUGCAGGAUUCCUGUGAUGAGGUUUUAUCUCCAAACUGGAUUGAUGCACUACUUGAGAAGAUUAAGGCGGAGAAACAGUCUAUGGGACAUGAACUCCUGCAGUCUCUCUGUAGGGUUUAUGUGGGAUUGUGUCAACAGUGAUGAGACUCUCAUAAAGCACAUGCCCUCGCCUACAGACUUCUUAAAGAAGACUCUUCUGAAGCCCCAAAACUGAUAAUGGUCAUGGUGACAGCAUGGCCAAGUGUUUUCUCCUGUAACAGCCCUUUAUGCAGAGGCGUUCACAUCGUGUGAAAAAUGAAGGCAUACGGAAAGAUUUAUUAUUUGCUCAGCAAAUCUCUGCACUGGGAUACGAUUUGCCGUGGGAGCUGCAGCUCGCAGUGGUUUAUGCCACUCAUGAUCUGGCACCCAGCAGCCCCAAAGUCGCUCUGAACGCUUUGGAAUCGUGGAAGAAAGACCUCACAAAGCCCGUUCCUCCAGCCGUCACCAAGUGCCUGAAGCAGAUCAGCUUUCUUUG